UACGAAGGGGACUAGCGUUGUUCGGAAUUACUGGGCGUAAAGCGCACGUAGGCGGAUUUGUAAGUCAGGGGUGAAAUCCCGGGGCUCAACCUCGGAACUGCCUUUGAUACUGCAAAUCUCGAGUCCGAUAGAGGUGGGUGGAAUUCCUAGUGUAGAGGUGAAAUUCGUAGAUAUUAGGAAGAGCACCGGUGGCGAAGGCGGCCCACUGGAUCGGUACUGACGCUGAGGUGCGAAAGCGUGGGGAGCAAACAGG
This 253-nucleotide ribosomal RNA is filed under the name uncultured bacterium. RNAcentral's name for it is "partial 16S ribosomal RNA". It matches the Rfam family "Bacterial small subunit ribosomal RNA", at positions 524 to 776 of the family's 1533-position model. The record is from RNAcentral.